Molecule: ribosomal RNA, 253 nt
Filed under: uncultured bacterium
Lineage: Bacteria
Description: partial 16S ribosomal RNA
Rfam family: Bacterial small subunit ribosomal RNA
Source: RNAcentral
UACGUAGGGUGCGAGCGUUGUCCGGAAUUAUUGGGCGUAAAGAGCUCGUAGGCGGCUUGUCACGUCGGUUGUGAAAGCCCGGGGCUUAACCCCGGGUCUGCAGUCGAUACGGGCAGGCUAGAGUUCGGUAGGGGAGAUCGGAAUUCCUGGUGUAGCGGUGAAAUGCGCAGAUAUCAGGAGGAACACCGAUGGCGAAGGCAGGUCUCUGGGCAUUAACUGACGCUGAGGAGCGAAAGCAUGGGGAGCGAACAGG